RNAcentral lists this ribosomal RNA (405 nucleotides) under Citrobacter sp. 126(2012). RNAcentral's name for it is "bacterial SSU rRNA". It matches the Rfam family "Bacterial small subunit ribosomal RNA", at positions 989 to 1394 of the family's 1533-position model. Lineage: Bacteria; Pseudomonadati; Pseudomonadota; Gammaproteobacteria; Enterobacterales; Enterobacteriaceae. The record is from RNAcentral.
GRYGGGCAUCGGCAGAGAUGCCUUAGUGCCUUCGGGAACCGUGAGACAGGUGCUGCAUGGCUGUCGUCAGCUCGUGUUGUGAAAUGUUGGGUUAAGUCCCGCAACGAGCGCAACCCUUAUCCUUUGUUGCCAGCGGUCCGGCCGGGAACUCAAAGGAGACUGCCAGUGAUAAACUGGAGGAAGGUGGGGAUGACGUCAAGUCAUCAUGGCCCUUACGACCAGGGCUACACACGUGCUACAAUGGCGCAUACAAAGAGAAGCGACCUCGCGAGAGCAAGCGGACCUCAUAAAGUGCGUCGUAGUCCGGAUUGGAGUCUGCAACUCGACUCCAUGAAGUCGGAAUCGCUAGUAAUCGUGGAUCAGAAUGCCACGGUGAAUACGUUCCCGGGUCUUGUACACACCGAA